RNAcentral lists this ribosomal RNA (253 nucleotides) under uncultured bacterium. RNAcentral's name for it is "partial 16S ribosomal RNA". It matches the Rfam family "Bacterial small subunit ribosomal RNA", at positions 524 to 776 of the family's 1533-position model. The record is from RNAcentral.
UACGAGUGGUGCAAGCGUUAUUCGGAAUUAUUGGGCGUACAGGGUGCGCAGGCGGUAUAUUAAGUCAAUUGUUAAAGACCUCGGCCUAACUGAGGAAAUGCGGUAGAUACUGGUAUACUAGAGGUUGGAAGAGAGAAGUGGAAUUCUUGGAGUAGCGGUAAAAUGCGUAGAUCUCAAGAGGAACACCGAUGGCGAAGGCAGCUUCUUGGUCCAUACCUGACGCUCAUGCACGAAAGCGUGGGGAGCAAACAGG